GGCAGUAACAGCUUUUCCUACACCUCAGGGGUUCAUCUUUACUUACCCAACUACACCAAAUUCCUAAGAAGUUUUCAAAUACCUCCCCACCAAUAAGAGAUCCUGCUUCUAGGUGGGACCUGUACCUAGUCCUUAAUUGCCUUACGAAAUAUCCUUUUGAGCCUCUAGCUAGGUGUUCUUUACUGGAUUUAUCAAUGAGGAUAGCCUUUCUGAUAGCUAUCACUUCUGCCCGAAGGGUUGAAGAAUUGGGGGCUUUAAUGGCAAACCCUCCACUUUUACAGUAUUCACCAGAAAGAAAGUGUUGCUAUAGGCCCAUCCAAAAUUUUUAUCUAACAUGCGCACAGAAUUUCAUAUUAAUCAAACCAUUCAUUUCCUGUUUUUUUUUUCCCUGAGAACUACCAUGGACUAGUCAAGAAGCCAUAUUCCAUACCCUAGAUGUCAGGAGAGUAUUAGCCUUUUACCUAGAUAAAAAAACCAUUUAGAAAAUCUCUUAGUCCAUUGGUAUCUCUUGCAGACAGAAAUAACCGUUCAGUAAUUUUGAAACAGAGUUUAUCUAAGUGAAUCUCCAGUUGUAUUAAGAUCUGAUGUUCAACCCCUUUUGAGUGAUCACACAUUCCACACAAGCACUAUUUACAUCUAUAGCCUUACUUAAGGAUGUGCCAGUUGCAGAUGUCUGUAGAGUGGCACCUUGGUCCUCUGUUCAUACUUCUUGUAAUCGUUACGCUUUGGUGCCAACAGCAAGAUAAGAUGCUGCCGUAGGCAGUGCAGUUCUCUUUUUUGUAUUGGGCUCUGCUCUGAACCUCCCGCUUCCUUGGGGGUAUUGCUGGGGAAUCCCCUGAAGUGGAGCACCCACAAGGGAACUACUUGAAGGAGAAAUUACUCAUCUUUUGUAGUAACUGGAGUUCUUCAAUAUGUGUGUCUCUGCAUGCUCCACUACCCACCCUCCUUCCUCUCUGCUUUGGAGUCUCCCUUGGGGGACUUUGCAGUGGUUCUUCUCUGCAGCCCCAUAAAGCCUCGAUGCAGGUCACAUGGAUGUGUGGGGCACUUGCACAGUCUGAAUGGGCACCAUUACCAAAAAUCUCUGAUCAAAGGUGCAGGUGCACCUGAAGUGGAGCGCCCUCAGGGCGACACAUCUCAAAGAACCCCAGUUACUACACAAGGUAAAUAACCUCUCCAUCUUUGACGGGUAGAAGGAGUGUUGUGGGAAAUGACAUGGAGAGGAGGGGGGAGAUUGUGUUCUCUUGAGGAAAAAAAUGGGCAAGACCUUGUGUAGAAGGAGAAGUGGAGGCAAAAGGAGGGGACGAUUUUGAAGAGUGAGUCAAAGGUAGCUGAGGUUGUGGGUGUGCGAUUCAUUUAAGUUGGAGUAGUAGAGUUGUUGAGCUAGGAAGAUGACGGAAUGGAAGGAGGAGAGAAUGAAUUUGUAUCAGAGGAAGACAGCCUGGUCACGGGACUUCCACUAGAGGCACUUAUUGCGAAGAUAGUAGCAGAGAAAGCAGAUGUUCGAGGAACAAACUAGUUAAGAGUGGAGGAGAGUGAAGCAUGGAGAGAAUUGACAAGAAAGAAAGAAAAAAAAGGAAGAGAAGGCAGGAAGGAGAAGUCUGAGAGCAGAUAAAUAGUUCAGUGCUGAUGGACUGGAAAUUACAGAAAG
Molecule: non-coding RNA, 1648 nt
Organism: Chelonoidis abingdonii (Abingdon island giant tortoise)
Lineage: Eukaryota; Metazoa; Chordata; Testudines; Testudinidae
Source: RefSeq, a predicted model, not a curated record